CAAAAAAAAACCUUUUAGAAUUUCUCUAGUAGGUUUCUUCUUAAGAAGAAGCCCAU
Small nuclear RNA from Pygocentrus nattereri (red-bellied piranha), 56 nucleotides. Its record names the gene U7. It matches the Rfam family "U7 small nuclear RNA". Rfam says of the family: Animal histone pre-mRNAs are spliced by a different mechanism than nuclear pre-mRNAs and self-splicing introns. This processing involves the U7 snRNP, which contains only one RNA species: U7. The record is from Ensembl. NCBI's taxonomy places the organism in Eukaryota, Metazoa, Chordata, Actinopteri, Characiformes, Serrasalmidae.